AUAAUAUAAGAUUUAACCUGCCCGCUGAAUAAUUGAAUGGCCGCGGUAUUUUGACCGUGCAAAGGUAGCAUAAUAAUUAGUUUUUUGAUUGAAAGCUGGAAUGAAUGGUUGGACGAGAAAAUUACUGUCUCUGAUUAAAUUUUUAAUAAAAUUUUAUUUUUAAGUUAAAAAGCUUAAAUGUUGUUAAAAGACGAGAAGACCCUAUAGAGUUUAAUAAUUUUUUAAUAAUAUAAUUUUAGGUAUUUAAAUUUUGUUUUUAUGGAAUUAUUUUAUUGGGGUGAUAAAAAGAUUAAAUUAACUCUUUUUUUAUUUUUACAUUUAUAAAUGAUUAUUUGAUCCAAUUUUUUUGAUUAUAAGAAUAAAUUACCUUAGGGAUAACAGCGUAAUCUUUUUAGAGAGUUCUUAUCGAAAUGAGGGAUUGCGACCUCGAUGUUGGAUUAAAGUUAAUUUUUGGUGUAGAAGCUUGAAAAUUGAGUCUGUUCGACUUUUAAAACUUUACAUGAUCUGAGUUUAAACCGGUGUGAGCCAGGUUGGUUUCUAUCUUUAUUUAAUAAAAAUAUCUUAGUACGAAAGGACCAA
RNAcentral lists this ribosomal RNA (579 nucleotides) under Hydora sp. 8 MF-2023a. RNAcentral describes it as "partial large subunit ribosomal RNA". It matches the Rfam family "Bacterial large subunit ribosomal RNA", at positions 1842 to 2695 of the family's 2925-position model. The record is from RNAcentral. Lineage: Eukaryota; Metazoa; Arthropoda; Insecta; Coleoptera; Elmidae.